This 465-nucleotide ribosomal RNA is filed under the name Vreelandella stevensii. RNAcentral's name for it is "partial 16S ribosomal RNA". It matches the Rfam family "Bacterial small subunit ribosomal RNA", at positions 338 to 795 of the family's 1533-position model. Lineage: Bacteria; Pseudomonadati; Pseudomonadota; Gammaproteobacteria; Oceanospirillales; Halomonadaceae. The record is from RNAcentral.
CCUACGGGAGGCUGCAGUGGGGAAUAUUGGACAAUGGGGGCAACCCUGAUCCAGCCAUGCCGCGUGUGUGAAGAAGGCCCUCGGGUUGUAAAGCACUUUCAGUGAGGAAGAACGCCUGGUGGUUAAUACCCAUCAGGAAAGACAUCACUCACAGAAGAAGCACCGGCUAACUCCGUGCCAGCAGCCGCGGUAAUACGGAGGGUGCGAGCGUUAAUCGGAAUUACUGGGCGUAAAGCGCGCGUAGGUGGCUUGAUAAGCCGGUUGUGAAAGCCCCGGGCUCAACCUGGGAACGGCAUCCGGAACUGUCAAGCUAGAGUGCAGGAGAGGAAGGUAGAAUUCCCGGUGUAGCGGUGAAAUGCGUAGAGAUCGGGAGGAAUACCAGUGGCGAAGGCGGCCUUCUGGACUGACACUGACACUGAGGUGCGAAAGCGUGGGUAGCAAACAGGAUUAGAUACCCUGGUAGUC